UCCAAUGUGGUGUAGUGGCUAACAUUGCUGUCUUUCAUGUUUGGUCUUGAUCACAGCAGCCCGGGGUUCGAUUCCCCGCAUUGGAA
Molecule: non-coding RNA, 86 nt
Organism: Lentinula edodes (shiitake mushroom)
Lineage: Eukaryota; Fungi; Basidiomycota; Agaricomycetes; Agaricales; Omphalotaceae
Source: Rfam